AAUUCAUGAUGAGGACACAUUCUCAAAAGAUCCCUAAAUCUCUCCCAUGCAUCAUAUAAUGUCUCCAAAUCAAUUUGAGUACAAGAAGAAAUAUCAUUUCUCAACUU
RNAcentral lists this small nucleolar RNA (107 nucleotides) under Gossypium barbadense (sea-island cotton). RNAcentral's name for it is "Plant small nucleolar RNA R71". It matches the Rfam family "Plant small nucleolar RNA R71". Rfam says of the family: R71 is a member of the C/D box family of snoRNAs containing the C (UGAUGA) and D (CUGA) box motifs. Multiple nearly identical copies of this snoRNA have been identified in Arabidopsis, and it is thought to function as a 2'-O-ribose methylation guide for 18S ribosomal RNA. RNAcentral also lists the same sequence under 1 other name. The record is from Rfam by way of RNAcentral. Lineage: Eukaryota; Viridiplantae; Streptophyta; Magnoliopsida; Malvales; Malvaceae.